This is a long non-coding RNA of Cavia porcellus (domestic guinea pig), 1533 nucleotides long. RefSeq lists it as uncharacterized. The transcript has 2 exons. The record is from RefSeq and is a predicted model, not a curated record. NCBI's taxonomy places the organism in Eukaryota, Metazoa, Chordata, Mammalia, Rodentia, Caviidae.
AGGACACCGAGACAGCUGGGACAGCACAACUGAAGACAGGAGAGAGAAUUUCUAGAAGUGCUUCCAAAUGAUGGAGAUCCAAACAGUGAGAAAUUGUGUCUACGCUGCCUUAGACAAGCGUCCAGCAUCCCAUCAGUUCUUAAAAAUUCUACUGCCGGUCUUGCUCAUCUGUGCUCCCCACAGAAGCCAGAAUGAUCCUUCUAAAACCUAUCAGAUCAUGUCAUUCAUCUGCUGGAAACUUCCCGAAGCUUUUCCCAUUUCUGAAACCUGAAGGCCUGGCCAUGGGUUGUGAAGCCCUUCAGCAUCUCACCUGUCCCCCUGUCCUCACUUCCAGUCAUCCCCUCCCUCGUCCCUGGUCCCACCAGCUCUUCCGGCGUGUCCUUGCUUGCACAUUCCCACUGAAUGUUUCUCCGCUCUGAACAACCCCUACUUUCAUCCUUGCUUCUAGUCUGGGAUGCACGGCCUGGGCCCUGCUUUCUUUACUUUGCUAAAAUAUAAAGAAAAAAAUGCUUUUCCAGAUGACCCUGAGUAAGCCUAUAAACUAGCUCCCAACUCACCUGCUACCUUUCUCUUGCCCUGCUUGGUUUUCUUCAUCGUAUUUAUUUCCACCAACCAUAUUUGCCUGUUCCCUAUUCCAUAAGAAGGCAGCUCCACGAGAAGUAGAACCGUGUGCAUUUUGUCAACUCUGUAUUAACAAAACCUUUAAAAAGAGCCUAGCACAUACAGGCACUCCUACAUUAUUGUUAAAUGCGUGUUUGUCCCUGAAUUUUUACAUAGUAGUUAUGAUCUUAAAAAAGAAGACUUCAAGUCAAACUUCUUUGUUCCCAAAAUGGAACCUUGUUGAAUUAGUUUGGGGAUUUUACUUAACAUGAACCUCAUUUCCCUCAUCUAAACAAUGAGGAUAAAUAAUAACCCCUACCCUGUAAAGUUAUAGCUGAAGAUUGACUGAACUAACCCAUACUGUGUGCUAAUCACUGUAUGUGCACAGCGUAAGUGAUCAAAAGUUGCUUUAUUGGGGCUGGGGAUUUAGCUCAGCAGCAUAAGCACCUGCCUUGCAAGCAGGCAGUCGUGAGUUCGAUCCCUGGUACCGAUAAAAACAACAACAAAAAAAAAAGCCAAAAAAAAAAAGUUGCUUUAUUAUACUGAUAUUGCUGUUCCUUUGAUUUAUGCCUUUUUUUUCUCUUUCCUUGGUCUUGCUUCAUAUAAAUAAUAGAAAGUUUUAAAAAUCCAGUGUUAGAAUGUGUCAAGGUUUAUGUCGGUGGCCCCAGGCCUCAUGUGUUUGCACUGUGCAUUUGUGAUUGGUUUAUUGUCUAGCACUUGGAUUGAUGGUGUCAGUACUACACUCACCUAGCGGUGGAGCCAGCAUACAAUGUAGUGGCAGGAAAAAGGCGUGUUUGACUCUCUUGCUGGUUUCCACCUUGCUGUUUGCAGCUGCAGUGAACUGUGCCCUGCCAUGCCACCCUGCCUUGGAGCCAACUGAGUAUGGACUGAAACUUACAAAAACUGUAAGAAAUAAACCUUUCCCUUCUCAAC